AGGGUUUGAUUCUGGCUCAGGAUGAACGCUGGCGGCGUGCCUAACACAUGCAAGUCGAGCGAAGCACUCCACUUUGAUUUCUUCGGAAUGAAGAGAGGUUUGACUGAGCGGCGGACGGGUGAGUAACGCGUGGGUAACCUGCCUCAUACAGGGGGAUAACAGUUAGAAAUGACUGCUAAUACCGCAUAAGACCACAGCACCGCAUGGUGCAGGGGUAAAAACUCCGGUGGUAUGAGAUGGACCCGCGUCUGAUUAGCUAGUUGGUAAGGUAACGGCUUACCAAGGCGACGAUCAGUAGCCGACCUGAGAGGGUGACCGGCCACAUUGGGACUGAGACACGGCCCAA
Molecule: ribosomal RNA, 346 nt
Filed under: uncultured bacterium
Lineage: Bacteria
Description: bacterial SSU rRNA
Rfam family: Bacterial small subunit ribosomal RNA
Source: RNAcentral